UCCCUGAAAGAUGAUCAGGUUGAUAGGUCUGAGGUGGAAGUGUGGCGACACAUGGAGCUGACAGAUACUAAUCGAUCGAGGACUUAACCUAA
This 92-nucleotide ribosomal RNA is filed under the name Bacillus paralicheniformis. Its description in RNAcentral is "partial 23S ribosomal RNA". It matches the Rfam family "Bacterial large subunit ribosomal RNA", at positions 2834 to 2925 of the family's 2925-position model. Lineage: Bacteria; Bacillati; Bacillota; Bacilli; Caryophanales; Bacillaceae. The record is from RNAcentral.